UACGUAGGGUGCAAGCGUUGUCCGGAAUUAUUGGGCGUAAAGAGCUCGUAGGCGGUUUGUUGCGUCGGCUGUGAAAUCCCGAGGCUCAACCUCGGGUCUGCAGUCGAUACGAGCAAACUAGAGUGUUGCAGGGGAGACUGGAAUUCCUGGUGUAGCGGUGAAAUGCGUAGAUAUCAGGAGGAACACCGGUGGCGAAGGCGGCUACCUGGACAGAAACUGACGCUGAGGCGCGAAAGCUAGGGGAGCAAACAGG
RNAcentral lists this ribosomal RNA (253 nucleotides) under uncultured bacterium. RNAcentral's name for it is "partial 16S ribosomal RNA". It matches the Rfam family "Bacterial small subunit ribosomal RNA", at positions 524 to 776 of the family's 1533-position model. The record is from RNAcentral.